This is a long non-coding RNA of Lepus europaeus (European hare), 240 nucleotides long. RefSeq lists it as uncharacterized. The transcript has 3 exons. The record is from RefSeq and is a predicted model, not a curated record. Lineage: Eukaryota; Metazoa; Chordata; Mammalia; Lagomorpha; Leporidae.
AAGCAAAGAAAGUGAUUGUAUCUCUGUUUCAAGUUCCUUUUCUUCUGGAAAACAUUCUCCAUGGCCAUGUGAAGAGAAAUUACAGGAAAUACAGACUAGAGGAACAAGCUAAACAAUGUCAACAGAAAACAGUAACCCAGAAAGUAGGACAUUCUACACAGUUGCUUUACCUAACUAUAAACUGCCCUGGCAUUGUGGUGUAGCGGGUAAAACCACCACGUGUGAUGCCAGUAUCCCAUA